Molecule: transfer RNA, 82 nt
Filed under: Didymella glomerata
Lineage: Eukaryota; Fungi; Ascomycota; Dothideomycetes; Pleosporales; Didymellaceae
Also listed under: 1 other name
Description: Peyronellaea glomerata tRNA
Rfam family: tRNA
About the family: Transfer RNA (tRNA) molecules are approximately 80 nucleotides in length.
Source: Rfam by way of RNAcentral
GGCCUAAUGGCCCAAUGGCAAGGCGCUUGACUACGAUUUCAUCGGUAUCAAGAGAUUCCAGGUUCGACCCCUGGUUAGGUCA